UAUUGUAAACUCUGCCUU
This 18-nucleotide microRNA is filed under the name Mus musculus (house mouse). Its description in RNAcentral is "mmu-miR-5624-5p". The record is from miRBase by way of RNAcentral. Lineage: Eukaryota; Metazoa; Chordata; Mammalia; Rodentia; Muridae.